This 406-nucleotide ribosomal RNA is filed under the name uncultured bacterium. Its description in RNAcentral is "partial 16S ribosomal RNA". It matches the Rfam family "Bacterial small subunit ribosomal RNA", at positions 30 to 526 of the family's 1533-position model. The record is from RNAcentral.
AUUGAACGCUGGCGGCAGGCCUAACACAUGCAAGUCGAACGAGUGGCGGACGGGUGAGUAAUGGCUGGGAAACUGGCCGAUGGAGGGGGAUAACUACGGGAAACGGUAGCUAAUACCGCAUACCAUCGGAUGUGCCAAGAUGGGAUUAGCUAAUCGGUGGGGUAACGGCUCACCGAGGCGACGAUCCCUAGCUGGCCUGAGAGGAUGACCAGCCACACUGGAACUGAGACACGGUCCAGACUCCUACGCGAGGCAGCAGUGGGGAAUAUUGCACAAUGGGCGCAAGCCUGAUGCAGCCAUGCCGCGUGUAUGAAGAAGGCCUUCGGGUUGUAAAGUACUUUCGUCAGGGAGGCGUUACUCGCAGAAGAAGCACCGGCUAACUCCGUGCCAGCAGCCGCGGUAAUUC